RNAcentral lists this ribosomal RNA (492 nucleotides) under uncultured bacterium. Its description in RNAcentral is "partial 16S ribosomal RNA". It matches the Rfam family "Bacterial small subunit ribosomal RNA", at positions 29 to 507 of the family's 1533-position model. The record is from RNAcentral.
AGUGAACGCUGGCGGUAGGCCUAACACAUGCAAGUCGAACGGCAGCACAGUAAGAGCUUGCUCUUACGGGUGGCGAGUGGCGGACGGGUGCGGAAUACAUCGGAAUCUACUUUUUCGUGGGGGCUAACGUAGGGACACUUACGCUAAUACCGCAUACGACCUACGGGUGAAAGCAGGGGAUCUUCGGACCUUGCGCGAUUGAAUGAGCCGAUGUCGGAUUAGCUAGUUGGCGGGGUAAAGGCCCACCAAGGCGACGAUCCGUAGCUGGUCUGAGAGGAUGAUCAGCCACACUGGAACUGAGACACGGUCCAGACUCCUACGGGAGGCAGCAGUGGGGAAUAUUGGACAAUGGGCGCAAGCCUGAUCCAGCCAUACCGCGUGGGUGAAGAAGGCCUUCGGGUUGUAAAGCCCUUUUGUUGGGAAAGAAAAGCAGCAGGUUAAUACCCCGCUGUUCUGACGGUACCCAAAGAAUAAGCACCGGCUAACUUCGUG